This 467-nucleotide ribosomal RNA is filed under the name uncultured bacterium. RNAcentral describes it as "partial 16S ribosomal RNA". It matches the Rfam family "Bacterial small subunit ribosomal RNA", at positions 28 to 507 of the family's 1533-position model. The record is from RNAcentral.
GACGAACGCUGGCGGCGUGCUUAACACAUGCAAGUCGAACGGAAAGGCCUCAGCUUGCUGGGGUACUCGAGUGGCGAACGGGUGAGUAACACGUGGGUGAUCUGCCUUGCACUCUGGGAUAAGCUUGGGAAACUGGGUCUAAUACCGGAUAUGAACUGCCUUUAGUGUGGUGGUUGGAAAGUUUUUUCGGUGCAAGAUGAGCUCGCGGCCUAUCAGCUUGUUUGUGGGGUAAUGGCCUACCAAGGCGUCGACGGGUAGCCGGCCUGAGAGGGUGUACGGCCACAUUGGGACUGAGAUACGGCCCAGACUCCUACGGGAGGCAGCAGUGGGGAAUAUUGCACAAUGGGCGGAAGCCUGAUGCAGCGACGCCGCGUGGGGGAUGACGGCCUUCGGGUUGUAAACUCCUUUCGACAGGGACGAAGCUUUUUGUGACGGUACCUGUAUAAGAAGCACCGGCUAACUACGUG